Molecule: transfer RNA, 74 nt
Filed under: Treponema sp.
Lineage: Bacteria; Pseudomonadati; Spirochaetota; Spirochaetia; Treponematales; Treponemataceae
Description: tRNA-Arg
Rfam family: tRNA
About the family: Transfer RNA (tRNA) molecules are approximately 80 nucleotides in length. Their secondary structure includes four short double-helical elements and three loops (D, anti-codon, and T loops).
Source: RNAcentral
GACAGACUAGCUCAUGUGGAUAGAGCGUCAGCCUCCGGAGCUGAAGGCGGCGGGUUCGAAUCCCGCGUCUGUCA